GCAGCAUGAUCUAGCUUGCUAGAUUGAUGGCGAGUGGCGAACGGGUGAGUAAUACAUCGGAACGUGCCCUGUAGUGGGGGAUAACUAGUCGAAAGAUUAGCUAAUACCGCAUACGACCUGAGGGUGAAAGUGGGGGACCGCAAGGCCUCAUGCUAUAGGAGCGGCCGAUGUCUGAUUAGCUAGUUGGUGAGGUAAAGGCUCACCAAGGCGACGAUCAGUAGCUGGUCUGAGAGGACGAUCAGCCACACUGGGACUGAGACACGGCCCAGACUCCUACGGGAGGCAGCAGUGGGGAAUUUUGGACAAUGGGCGAAAGCCUGAUCCAGCAAUGCCGCGUGUGUGAAGAAGGCCUUCGGGUUGUAAAGCACUUUUGUCCGGAAAGAAAUGGCUCUGGUUAAUACCUGGGGUCGAUGACGGUACCGGAAGAAUAAGGACCGGCUAACUACGUGCCAGC
RNAcentral lists this ribosomal RNA (454 nucleotides) under Ralstonia pickettii. RNAcentral describes it as "bacterial SSU rRNA". It matches the Rfam family "Bacterial small subunit ribosomal RNA", at positions 66 to 512 of the family's 1533-position model. Lineage: Bacteria; Pseudomonadati; Pseudomonadota; Betaproteobacteria; Burkholderiales; Burkholderiaceae. The record is from RNAcentral.